RNAcentral lists this ribosomal RNA (701 nucleotides) under Russula gracillima. Its description in RNAcentral is "eukaryotic LSU rRNA". The stretch from base 245 to 398 matches the Rfam family "5.8S ribosomal RNA". The record is from RNAcentral. Lineage: Eukaryota; Fungi; Basidiomycota; Agaricomycetes; Russulales; Russulaceae.
AAAAGUCGUAACAAGGUUUCCGUAGGUGAACCUGCGGAAGGAUCAUUAUCAUACAACUGAGGCACAAGGGCUGUCGCUGACUUUUUCGUCGUGCACGCCCAGGUGCUCUCAAAACAAUCCAUCUCACCCCUAUGUGCACCACCGCGUGGGUCCCCUUUUGGCUCGUCCCGAGGGGGGCUCGCGUUUUCACACAAACUAAACACAGUGUAGAAUGUCCUUCUUUGCGAUCACACGCAAUUAAUACAACUUUCAACAACGGAUCUCUUGGCUCUCGCAUCGAUGAAGAACGCAGCGAAAUGCGAUACGUAAUGUGAAUUGCAGAAUUCAGUGAAUCAUCGAAUCUUUGAACGCACCUUGCGCCCCUUGGCAUUCCGAGGGGCACACCCGUUUGAGUGUCGUGAAAUUCUCAAAACCCUUUUCUUUUGAAGAGGAUUUUGGACUUGGAGGCUUUUUGCUGGUUUCGCACAGAAGCGAGCUCCUCCUAAAUGGAUUAGUGGGGUCUGCUUUGCCGAUCCUUGACGUGAUAAGAUGUUUCUACGUCUUGGGUUUGGCAUCGCACCCGCUUCUAACCGUCUCAUCGACAAUGAUGGCGUUCCGGUCACCACCGUUUCAUCGGUGGGAGGCUGGACCCACCACAAAAACCUUGACCUCAAAUCGGGUGAGACUACCCGCUGAACUUAAGCAUAUCAAUAAGCGGAGGA